RNAcentral lists this transfer RNA (78 nucleotides) under Podarcis lilfordi (Lilford's wall lizard). Its description in RNAcentral is "tRNA.Met". The stretch from base 10 to 67 matches the Rfam family "tRNA", at positions 8 to 63 of the family's 71-position model. Rfam says of the family: Transfer RNA (tRNA) molecules are approximately 80 nucleotides in length. Their secondary structure includes four short double-helical elements and three loops (D, anti-codon, and T loops). The record is from RNAcentral. Lineage: Eukaryota; Metazoa; Chordata; Lepidosauria; Squamata; Lacertidae.
UAGGGACGAUAGUUCAGUUGGUAGAGCAUGAGACUCAUAACCCCAGGGUUGUGGGUUCUAGCCCCACGUAGGGCAAAA